This 74-nucleotide transfer RNA is filed under the name Plesiobatis daviesi. RNAcentral describes it as "tRNA-Thr". It matches the Rfam family "tRNA". Rfam says of the family: Transfer RNA (tRNA) molecules are approximately 80 nucleotides in length. Their secondary structure includes four short double-helical elements and three loops (D, anti-codon, and T loops). Lineage: Eukaryota; Metazoa; Chordata; Chondrichthyes; Myliobatiformes; Plesiobatidae. The record is from RNAcentral.
GCUCUGGUGGCCCAGCUAUUUAAGGCAUCGGUCUUGUAAACCGAAAAUCGGAGGUGAAAUUCCUCCCCAGUGCA